This 24-nucleotide non-coding RNA is filed under the name Arabidopsis thaliana (thale cress). The record is from RNAcentral. Lineage: Eukaryota; Viridiplantae; Streptophyta; Magnoliopsida; Brassicales; Brassicaceae.
AGGGGAAUCAACUCUGCCCACUGA